AGUAUUCUAAGUCCAAAAUUUAUUCUAAGUCCAAAAAUUCAUUGUUUAAAAAUAUUCUAAGUCCAAAAAUGGCCAAAAUUAUUCCUGGGCAUAUUUUGAGUAAUAAAUUUUUGUGUGGUUUUAGAGUAACUCACUGGGCCCCUACUGAGUUACUCUUCCCACGGCCAGGUAAUCCAUUAUGCUUGUAUUUUUUUAUAUUAUUGGUGAAUGAUAAUUUGAAGGCCUUCCUCCGGAGACGCUUCCGAUUAUCUUUUACCAAAUUUUUUCAACGUUAGUCCUGGCAAUGGCAAACU
This is a long non-coding RNA of Homarus americanus (American lobster), 293 nucleotides long. RefSeq lists it as uncharacterized. NCBI's taxonomy places the organism in Eukaryota, Metazoa, Arthropoda, Malacostraca, Decapoda, Nephropidae. The record is from RefSeq and is a predicted model, not a curated record. The transcript has 2 exons.